This 313-nucleotide long non-coding RNA is filed under the name Gopherus agassizii (Agassiz's desert tortoise). Its description in RNAcentral is "lncRNA (ENSGAGG00000010961.1)". Lineage: Eukaryota; Metazoa; Chordata; Testudines; Testudinidae. The record is from RNAcentral.
CUGGCCUCAUUUGCUCGCAGAGUGGAAGGGGAGUCAUAUGACCAAGCAAACAGCCGGGAGGAAUACCACCAUCUGCUAACUGAGAAGAUCCAUGAAAUCCACAGACACAUACAGGAAGUACAAGAGAACAGGCUGCUGGGGCAGCAAGGACUUGGUGUACUGCCAGCUCCACAGCAGCAAGGACCUGGCAUGGGUCAGCCAUAACAAAGACUCUCUGCUAGCUUUUGUGGAGAGCUGAAUGGUAGAUUCCAGCCUCCAGAAAGAAGUGUCUGGACUAUCCUCAUCUAAGCUGCCUCCUCUGGACAAGAAUAAC